GUAGUCAUAUGCUUGUCUCAAAGAUUAAGCCAUGCAGGUCUAAGUGCACACGGACGGUACAGUGAAACUGCGAAUGGCUCAUUAAAUCAGUUAUGGUUCCUUUGAUCGCUCCACACGUUACUCGGAUAACUGUGGUAAUUCCAGAGCUAAUACAUGCAAACGAGCGCUGACCCUCCUCUCCCUCUCGGGGGAGCGGGGGGGAUGCGUGCAUUUAUCAGACCCAAAACCCAUCCGGGGGGUCUUGGGCCCCCCGGCCGCUUUGGUGACUCUAGAUAACCUCGGGCCGAUCGCGCGCCCUCCGCGGCGGCGACGUCUCAUUCGAAUGUCUGCCCCUAUCAACUUUUCGAUGG
Molecule: ribosomal RNA, 350 nt
Filed under: Pseudoplatystoma reticulatum
Lineage: Eukaryota; Metazoa; Chordata; Actinopteri; Siluriformes; Pimelodidae
Description: partial 16S ribosomal RNA
Rfam family: Eukaryotic small subunit ribosomal RNA
Source: RNAcentral